UACGUAGGGGGCAAGCGUUGUCCGGAAUCAUUGGGCGUAAAGAGCGCGUAGGCGGCCCAGUAAGUCCGCUCUGAAAGUCAGGGGCUCAACCCCUGGAUGCGGGUGGAUACUGCUGGGCUAGAGUCCGGUAGGGGCCCACGGAAUUCCUGGUGUAGCGGUGAAAUGCGCAGAUAUCAGGAGGAACACCGAUGGCGAAAGCACUCUGCUGGGCCGACACUGACACUGAGAGACGAAAGCUAGGGGAGCGAAUGGG
RNAcentral lists this ribosomal RNA (253 nucleotides) under uncultured bacterium. RNAcentral's name for it is "partial 16S ribosomal RNA". It matches the Rfam family "Bacterial small subunit ribosomal RNA", at positions 524 to 776 of the family's 1533-position model. The record is from RNAcentral.